Molecule: transfer RNA, 70 nt
Organism: Atta cephalotes
Lineage: Eukaryota; Metazoa; Arthropoda; Insecta; Hymenoptera; Formicidae
Rfam family: tRNA
About the family: Transfer RNA (tRNA) molecules are approximately 80 nucleotides in length. Their secondary structure includes four short double-helical elements and three loops (D, anti-codon, and T loops). Further hydrogen bonds mediate the characteristic L-shaped molecular structure. tRNAs have two regions of fundamental functional importance: the anti-codon, which is responsible for specific mRNA codon recognition, and the 3' end, to which the tRNAs corresponding amino acid is attached (by aminoacyl-tRNA synthetases). tRNAs cope with the degeneracy of the genetic code in two manners: having more than one tRNA (with a specific anti-codon) for a particular amino acid; and 'wobble' base-pairing, i.e. permitting non-standard base-pairing at the 3rd anti-codon position.
Source: Rfam
GCGAGCGUGGCAUAGCGGACAGCGCACUGGUCUGCAAUGCUAGAGUUCCCGGGUUCGAUUCCCGGCGGCA